GUGCCAGCAGCCGCGGUAAUACAGAGGUGCCAAGCGUUAGGCGGAAUCACUGGGCUUAAAGCGCGUGUAGGUGGACGGGUAAGUAUCUUGUGAAAUCCCACGGCUCAACCGUGGAACUGCUGGAUAUACUGCUUGUCUUGAGGCACUUAGGGGCAGCUGGAACAAAUGGUGGAGCGGUGAAAUGCGUAGAUAUCAUUUGGAACGCCAAAGGCGAAAGCAGGCUGCUGGGAGUGAUCUGACACUGAGACGCGAAAGCCAGGGGAGCAAACGGGAUUAGAUACCCCGGUAGUCC
RNAcentral lists this ribosomal RNA (292 nucleotides) under uncultured bacterium. RNAcentral describes it as "partial 16S ribosomal RNA". It matches the Rfam family "Bacterial small subunit ribosomal RNA", at positions 505 to 796 of the family's 1533-position model. The record is from RNAcentral.